GGUUCCUUUUCCUAGCCCACCGCGCCCUUCGAGAGAAGCUGUUGCAGGCCGCGGGCGGCCGUGCCGGAUUGCGCGCUGCUCGCAGGGGCCAGGACUCCCAGGACAGCCUGCUUCGGCCCCAUGCCGCCCGACAGACGGCUGUGGGACGCAAGGACGAAAGCUUGUUCGUAUCCCCUUUCGAAGCUCGUUACUGCUCGCUCGGGCGGUGCUCUGUGCUGUCCCCCCUUCCCCAGCGCGCAGAGGAAAGAAGGGUGCAAUCGUACAACUGCUUCAUCUGUCAAGAUUACAGGCUUUUGAAGGCAGAGACUUUCCUAUAUCUCAGGCAGCGCUCCUUACGCUUAAGUCCCAUCCGUUCAAGGUGGAGCAUCGUUGCUAACGUCCCACAGUCUCAUGCCUGAAGUUCGGGCAUCUCCGUUCUCAGCAGGGAUCCUGGGGAAUUUUCCAAGGCACAAAUUGCUCCUAGGCUGACUAUUAUGUGACCAUCUUCAGCACCUUUCACGUCACCAGUGAAUUUGACCUGUUUUGCUUGUAUAGUUCCAUAAUCCAUCAAAAGCAUAAUGAGAAAUUAAAGUCUUGAAACUGAACUAA
Molecule: non-coding RNA, 588 nt
Organism: Struthio camelus australis
Lineage: Eukaryota; Metazoa; Chordata; Aves; Struthioniformes; Struthionidae
Source: RefSeq, a predicted model, not a curated record